ACGACCAACAUGAUGAAAGAUCGAAUUUUAUAUUCAGUUAUCCCUGUCCGAAGUAUUCGUGUGGAUAUUCACUAUUCUGAUUGUCGU
This 87-nucleotide small nucleolar RNA is filed under the name Thielaviopsis punctulata. Its description in RNAcentral is "Ceratocystis radicicola Small nucleolar RNA R38". It matches the Rfam family "Small nucleolar RNA R38". Rfam says of the family: snoR38 is a C/D box small nucleolar RNA conserved across yeast, human, Arabidopsis and rice. It is encoded in the intron of elongation factor-1 gamma in both pombe and cerevisiae. snoR38 guides the methylation of 2'-O-ribose sites in 28S rRNA. Lineage: Eukaryota; Fungi; Ascomycota; Sordariomycetes; Microascales; Ceratocystidaceae. The record is from Rfam by way of RNAcentral.